GCGUGGAUAGUAUAAUGGUAGUAUGUAAGCUUCCCAAGCUUGAGACCCGGGUUCAAUCCCCGGUCCGCGCA
RNAcentral lists this transfer RNA (71 nucleotides) under archaeon. Its description in RNAcentral is "tRNA-Gly". It matches the Rfam family "tRNA". Rfam says of the family: Transfer RNA (tRNA) molecules are approximately 80 nucleotides in length. Their secondary structure includes four short double-helical elements and three loops (D, anti-codon, and T loops). The record is from RNAcentral.